RNAcentral lists this long non-coding RNA (283 nucleotides) under Gallus gallus (chicken). The record is from RNAcentral. Lineage: Eukaryota; Metazoa; Chordata; Aves; Galliformes; Phasianidae.
GCCCGUCACUGCGCACGUACACGUGGCACAGGUAGUCUUGCUCCUUGACCGAGGCCCUGCUGCCCAGCUCCGAGCGCUCCACGAUCAGCUGGCUGGUGAAGGUCAUGAAUUCCUGCACGCUGGACCGCUGGAAGAAGUUGAAGGUGGAGACGUCGGAGGCGGCCUUCAGCAGCUGCACGCGGGUCUCGCCCUUGUAUAGCACACUCAGGCUGUACAGCCUCAUGGUGGGUGCGGCGCAGCGGGCCGUUCGCAAGGGACGGCGGAGGGGAGCGCUGCCGACCCG